GAUGAACGCUAGCUGCAGGCUUAACACAUGCAAGUCGAGCGACCGGCGCACGGGUGAGUAACACGUAUCCAACCUGCCCUUUACUCUGGGAUAGCCUUUCGACCGAAAGAUUAUUACCCAUUCUUUAGGAUGGGGAUGCGUUCCUUUAGGUUGUUGGUGAUGUAACGGCCCACCAAGCCUUCGAUGGAUAGGGGAUCUGAGAGGAAGGUCCCCCACAUGGGAGCUGAGGCACAGUCCAAACUGGUACGGGGGGCUGCAGUGAGGAAUAUUAGUGAAUGGGCGUUAGUCUGGACCAGCCGAGUAGCGGGAAGGAGGAAGGGUUAUGAGUGGUAAAUUUCUUAUAAAUAAGAAUAGGUAUUAUAUGAAUAAGGAACGGCUAACUCCGUGCCAGCAGCCGCGGUAAUUC
This 406-nucleotide ribosomal RNA is filed under the name uncultured bacterium. Its description in RNAcentral is "partial 16S ribosomal RNA". It matches the Rfam family "Bacterial small subunit ribosomal RNA", at positions 28 to 526 of the family's 1533-position model. The record is from RNAcentral.